RNAcentral lists this transfer RNA (84 nucleotides) under Dolichopsis paraguariensis. Its description in RNAcentral is "tRNA-Tyr". The record is from RNAcentral. Lineage: Eukaryota; Viridiplantae; Streptophyta; Magnoliopsida; Fabales; Fabaceae.
AAUCAUAACACUAAAUUCAUUUUAUUGAUACAUAAAUGUACUCACAAAUUAAAAUAUUUCAUCGAAUCAUUGAUAAAAUGGAUU